GAAGCGGGAAGAGCUCAAAUUUAUAAUCUGGCACCUUCGGUGUCCGAGUUGUAAUCUCUAGAAGUGUUUUCCGCGUUGGACCGCACACAAGUCUGUUGGAAUACAGCGGCAUAGUGGUGAAACCCCCGUAUAUGGUGCGGACGCCCAGCGCUUUGUGAUACACUUUCAAUGAGUCGAGUUGUUUGGGAAUGCAGCUCAAAUUGGGUGGUAAAUUCCAUCUAAAGCUAAAUAUUGGCGAGAGACCGAUAGCGAACAAGUACCGUGAGGGAAAGAUGAAAAGCACUUUGGAAAGAGAGUUAACAGUACGUGAAAUUGUUGGAAGGGAAACGCUUGAAGUCAGACUUGCUUGCCGGAGCUUGCUUCGGUUUGCAGGCCAGCAUCAGUUUUCCGGGGUGGAUAAUGACGGUUUGAAGGUAGCAGUCUCGGCUGUGUUAUAGCUUUCCGUUGGAUACAUCCUGGGGGACUGAGGAACGCAGCGUGCUUUUUGCGAAAGACUCGUCUUUUUCACGCUUAGGAUGCUGGUGGAAUGGCUUUAAACGACCCGUCUUGA
RNAcentral lists this ribosomal RNA (550 nucleotides) under Rhodotorula graminis. Its description in RNAcentral is "eukaryotic LSU rRNA". It matches the Rfam family "Eukaryotic large subunit ribosomal RNA", at positions 95 to 657 of the family's 3401-position model. The record is from RNAcentral. Lineage: Eukaryota; Fungi; Basidiomycota; Microbotryomycetes; Sporidiobolales; Sporidiobolaceae.